RNAcentral lists this ribosomal RNA (245 nucleotides) under uncultured archaeon. RNAcentral's name for it is "partial 16S ribosomal RNA". It matches the Rfam family "Archaeal small subunit ribosomal RNA", at positions 474 to 718 of the family's 1478-position model. The record is from RNAcentral.
UCCCGGAGCCUCGAGUGGUGACCGCGUUUAUUGGGCCUAAAGCGUCCGUAGCCGAGUAAGUAAGUUUUCGGUGAAAUUGUCCAGCUCAACUGGACGAAUUGCCUUAAAUACUGCUUAUCUAGGGAUCGGGGAAGGUAGGGGGUAUGCCCAGGGGAGGGGUAAAAUCCUUUAAUCCUAGGUAGACCAUCAGUGGCGAAGGCGCCCUACUGAAACGAGUCCGACGGUGAGGAACGAAAGUUAGGGGA